Molecule: ribosomal RNA, 143 nt
Filed under: Ophiopogon megalanthus
Lineage: Eukaryota; Viridiplantae; Streptophyta; Magnoliopsida; Asparagales; Asparagaceae
Description: 5.8S ribosomal RNA
Rfam family: 5.8S ribosomal RNA
About the family: 5.8S ribosomal RNA (5.8S rRNA) is a component of the large subunit of the eukaryotic ribosome. It is transcribed by RNA polymerase I as part of the 45S precursor that also contains 18S and 28S rRNA.
Source: RNAcentral
UACGACUCUCGGCAACGGAUAUCUUGGCUCUCGCAUCGAUGAAGAACGCAGCGAAAUGCGAUACUUGGUGUGAAUUGCAGAAUCCCGUGAACCAUCGAGUCUUUGAACGCAAGUUGCGCCCGAGGCUAUCCGGCCGAGGGCAC